UACUUAGUGGCAGACGGGUGAGUAACAUGUGGGUAUCUACCCUUUGGCCUGGAAUAACACGAGGAAACUUGUGCUAAUACCGGAUAAGUCUUUACGGAGAAAGCUUUAUGCACCAUUGGAUGAGCCUGCACUUGAUUAGUUUGUUGGUAGGGUAAUGGCCUACCAAGACUGUGAUCAAUAGCUGAUUUGAGAGGAUGAUCAGCCACAUUGGGACUGAGACACGGCCCAAACUCCUACGGGAGGCAGCAGUGGGGAAUCUUGCACAAUGGAGGAAACUCUGAUGCAGCGAUGCCGCGUGAGUGAAGAAGGCCCUUGGGUUGUAAAGCUCUUUCGUCGGGGAAGAAAAUGACUGUACCCGAAUAAGAAGGUCCGGCUAACUUCGUGCCAGCAGCCGCGGUAAUACGAAGGGACCUAGCGUAGUUCGGAAUUACUGGGCUUAAAGAGUUCGUAGGUGGUUGAAAAAGUUGGUGGUGAAAUCCCAGAGCUUAACUCUGGAACUGCCAUCAAAACUUUUCAGCUAGAGUAUGAUAGAGGAAAGCAGAAUUUCUAGUGUAGAGGUGAAAUUCGUAGAUAUUAGAAAGAAUACCAAUUGCGAAGGCAGCUUUCUGGAUCAUUACUGACACUGAGGAACGAAAGCAUGGGUAGCGAAGAGGAUUAGAUACCCUCGUAGUCCAUGCCGUAAACGAUGUGUGUUAGACG
RNAcentral lists this ribosomal RNA (699 nucleotides) under alpha proteobacterium SCGC AAA163-N07. RNAcentral's name for it is "bacterial SSU rRNA". It matches the Rfam family "Bacterial small subunit ribosomal RNA", at positions 89 to 822 of the family's 1533-position model. Lineage: Bacteria; Pseudomonadati; Pseudomonadota; Alphaproteobacteria. The record is from RNAcentral.